UGGGGAAUAUUGGACAAUGGGCGCAAGCCUGACCCAGCCAUGCCGCGUGAGUGAUGAAGGCCCUAGGGUUGUAAAGCUCUUUUGUGCGGGAAGAUAAUGACUGUACCGCAAGAAUAAGCCCCGGCUAACUUCGUGCCAGCAGCCGCGGUAAUACGAAGGGGGCUAGCGUUGCUCGGAAUCACUGGGCGUAAAGGGUGCGUAGGCGGGUCUUUAAGUCAGGGGUGAAAUCCUGGAGCUCAACUCCAGAACUGCCUUUGAUACUGAGGAUCUUGAGUUCGGGAGAGGUGAGUGGAACUGCGAGUGUAGAGGUGAAAUUCGUAGAUAUUCGCAAGAACACCAGUGGCGAAGGCGGCUCACUGGCCCGAUACUGACGCUGAGGCACGAAAGCGUGGGGAGCAAACAGGAUUAGAUACCCUGGUAGUCCACGCCGUAAAACGAUGAAUGCCAGCCGUUGGGGGAGUUUACUCUUCAGUGGCGCAGCUAACGCUUUAAGCAUUCCGCCUGGGGAGUACGGUCGCAAGAUUAAAAACUCAAAUGAAUUGACGGGGUCAUAGCUGUUUCCUG
This 564-nucleotide ribosomal RNA is filed under the name uncultured bacterium. RNAcentral describes it as "partial 16S ribosomal RNA". It matches the Rfam family "Bacterial small subunit ribosomal RNA", at positions 355 to 1376 of the family's 1533-position model. The record is from RNAcentral.